UGGGGAAUAUUGCACAAUGGGCGAAAGCCUGAUGCAGCAACGCCGCGUGAGUGAUGAAGGCCUUCGGGUUGUAAAGCUCUGUCUUUUGGGACGAUAAUGACGGUACCAAAGGAGGAAGCCACGGCUAACUACGUGCCAGCAGCCGCGGUAAUACGUAGGUGGCAAGCGUUGUCCGGAUUUACUGGGCGUAAAGGAUGCGUAGGCGGAUUUUUAAGUGAGAUGUGAAAACCCUAAAGGCUUAACUUGGGGACUGCAUUUCAUACUGGAAAAUCUAAGUGCGGGAGAGGAGAAUGGAAUUCCUAGUGUAGCGGUGAAAUGCGUAGAGAUUUAGGAAGAACACCAGUGGCGAAGGCGAUUCUCUGGACCGUAACUGACGCUGAGGCAUGAAAGCGUGGGUNGCAAACAGGAUUUAGAUACCCUGGUAGUCCACGCCGUAAACGAUGAGUACUAGGUGUAGGAGGUAUCGACCCCUUCUGUGCCGCAGUUAACACAAUAAGUACUCCGCCUGGGAAGUACGAUCGCAAGAUUAAAACUCAAAUUGAAUUGACGGGGUCAUAGCUGUUUUCCU
RNAcentral lists this ribosomal RNA (568 nucleotides) under uncultured bacterium. RNAcentral's name for it is "partial 16S ribosomal RNA". It matches the Rfam family "Bacterial small subunit ribosomal RNA", at positions 355 to 1375 of the family's 1533-position model. The record is from RNAcentral.